CCUACGGGAGGCAGCAGUGGGGAAUAUUGCGCAAUGGGCGAAAGCCUGACGCAGCGACGCCGCGUGAGGGAUGAAGGUCUUCGGAUCGUAAACCUCUGUCAGAAGGGAAAAAUGUACAGUGCCCCAAUCAACACUGUAUUGAUGGUACCUUCAGAGGAAGCACCGGCUAACUCCGUGCCAGCAGCCGCGGUAAUACGGAGGGUGCAAGCGUUAAUCGGAAUUACUGGGCGUAAAGCGCGCGUAGGUUGUUUUGUAAGUCAGAGGUGUAAUCCCACGGCUUAACCGUGGAACUGCCUUUGAUACUGCAUAACUUGGAGCCGGGAGAGGUCAGCGGAAUGCCAGGUGUAGGAGUGAAAUCCGGAGAUAUCUGGAAGAACAUCAGUGGCGAAGGCGGCUGUCUGGACCGGUAUUGACGCUGAGGCGCGAAAGCGUGGGUAGCAAACAGGAUUAGAUACCCGUGUAGUC
This 465-nucleotide ribosomal RNA is filed under the name uncultured Desulfovibrio sp. RNAcentral's name for it is "bacterial SSU rRNA". It matches the Rfam family "Bacterial small subunit ribosomal RNA", at positions 338 to 795 of the family's 1533-position model. The record is from RNAcentral. Lineage: Bacteria; Pseudomonadati; Thermodesulfobacteriota; Desulfovibrionia; Desulfovibrionales; Desulfovibrionaceae.